GACGAACGCUGGCGGCGUGCUUAACACAUGCAAGUCGAACGGAAAGGCCUUUUCGGAGGUUCUCGAGUGGCGAACGGGUGAGUAACACGUGGGUGAUCUGCCCUGCACUCUGGGAUAAGCCUGGGAAACUGGGUCUAAUACCGGAUAGGACCGCACUUUAGUGUGUGUGGUGGAAAGUUUUUUCGGUGUAGGAUGAGCCCGCGGCCUAUCAGCUUGUUGGGGGGGUAAUGGCCUACCAAGGCGGCGACGGGUAGCCGGACUGAGAGGUUGGUCGGCCACAUUGGGACUGAGAGACGGCCCAGACUCCUACGGGAGGCAGCAGUGGGGAAUAUUGCACAAUGGGCGCAAGCCUGAUGCAGCGACGCCGCGUGGGGGAUGACGGCCUUCGGGUUGUAAACUCCUUUCGCCAGGGACGAAGCGUUUUGUGACGGUACCUGGAGAAGAAGCACCGGCUAACUACGUG
RNAcentral lists this ribosomal RNA (463 nucleotides) under uncultured bacterium. Its description in RNAcentral is "partial 16S ribosomal RNA". It matches the Rfam family "Bacterial small subunit ribosomal RNA", at positions 28 to 507 of the family's 1533-position model. The record is from RNAcentral.